GAGAAGAAGUAGCGAAAUGCGAUAAGUAAUGUGAAUUGCAGAAUUCAGUGAAUCAUCGAAUCUUUGAACGCACAUUGCGCCCGCUAGUAUUCUGGCGGGCAUGCCUGUCCGAGCGUCAUUUCAACCCUCAAGCCCCCGGGCUUGGUGUUGGGGAUCGGCGAGCCUCCGCGCCCGCCGUCCCCUAAAUCUAGUGGCGGUCUCGCUGUAGCUUCCUCUGCGUAGUAGCACACCUCGCACUGGGAAACAGCGCGGCCACGCCGUUAAACCCCCAACUUCUGAACGUUUGACCUCGGAUCAGGUAGGAAUACCCGCUGAACUUAAGCAUAUCAAUAAGCGGAGGA
Molecule: unclassified non-coding RNA, 341 nt
Filed under: soil metagenome
Description: partial contains 5.8S ribosomal RNA, internal transcribed spacer 2, and large subunit ribosomal RNA
Rfam family: 5.8S ribosomal RNA (bases 3-118)
Source: RNAcentral